Haliotis rufescens (red abalone) is the source of this 1075-nucleotide long non-coding RNA. RefSeq lists it as uncharacterized. The transcript has 3 exons. The record is from RefSeq and is a predicted model, not a curated record. NCBI's taxonomy places the organism in Eukaryota, Metazoa, Mollusca, Gastropoda, Lepetellida, Haliotidae.
UUGUCUUGAUGACAGGUGAUAUAUCUCGUUAGCAGGUACCAUUGUCUUGAUGACAGGUGAUAUAUCUCAUUAGCAGGUACCAUUGUCUUGAUGACAGGUGAUAUAUCUCAUUAGCAGGUACCACUUCCUUGAUGACAGGUGAUAUAUCUCAUUAGCAGGUACCACUUCCUUGAUGACAGGUAACACAUCUCAUUAGCAGGUACCACUUCCUUGAUGACAGGUGAUAUAUCUCAUUAGCAGGUACCACUUCCUUGAUGACAGGUGAUAUAUCUCAUUAGCAGGUACCACUUCCUUGAUGACAGGUGAUAUAUCUCAUUAGCAGGUACCACUUCCUUGAUGACAGGUGAUAUAUCUCAUUAGCAGGUACCACUUCCUUGAUGACAGGUGAUAUAUCUCAUUAGCAGGUACCACUUCCUUGAUGACAGGUGAUAUAUCUCAUUAGCAGGUACCACUUCCUUGAUGACAGGUAACACAUCUCGUUAACAGGUAGCACUGUCUUGGUGACAGGUGAUAUAUCUCAUUAGCAGGUACCACUUCCUUGAUGACAGGUAACACAUCUCGUUAACAGGUACCACUUCCUUGAUGACAGGUAACACAUCUCUUUAACAGGUAGCACUGUCUUGAUGACAGGUGAUAUAUCUCAUUAGCAGGUACCACUUCCUUGAUGACAGGUGAUAUAUCUCAUUAGCAGGUACCACUUCCUUGAUGACAGGUAACACAUCUCGUUAACAGGUAGCACUGUCUUGAUGACAGGUGAUAUAUCUCAUUAGCAGGUACCACUUCCUUGAUGACAGGUGAUAUAUCUCAUUAGCAGGUACCACUUCCUUGAUGACAGGUAACACAUCUCGUUAACAGGUAGCACUGUCUUGAUGACAGGUGAUAUAUCUCAUUAACAGGUACGACUGUCUUGAUGAAAUGGUAACGCAUCUUGUAACAGGUACUACUGUCUUGAUGACAGGUAACACAUCUCGUUAACAGGUAGCACUGUCUUGAUGACAGGUGAUAUAUCUCAUUAACAGGUACCACUGUCUUAAUGAAAUGGGGGGGCACGGGUGGCCAAGUCGUCUAAGGCGCC